Molecule: long non-coding RNA, 3072 nt
Organism: Bactrocera dorsalis (oriental fruit fly)
Lineage: Eukaryota; Metazoa; Arthropoda; Insecta; Diptera; Tephritidae
Exons: 2
Source: RefSeq, a predicted model, not a curated record
UGGAUGAAUUGUUUGUAGUGUGGCCCUUUCUUCAAUUUUCUAACAAUGCGGUUAAUCCGCAGCGUUUUGACUGAUGGAAGGCGAGUUUUAAAGCGAUUUUUUGUUUUGAGAUAUGGCCAUCGAGCAUUUUCUGCGGUUUUGCCUUGACUUUGUAGCUUUGAUGGUCCAUCAUGUUUAUGUAUCUUUGUACUACAUAUACGAGUAUGAGGUGUUUUUUACGGAAAAUUAAAUAUCACUUAUUUCUUUCUAUGUGUCUUGUCUUUACUAUAUGUUUGAAUAUAUCAGCUCACAAGCGAAUUCAGUAUUAGACCCUUUUUUAUGGAAUGUCGGGUAUGAUGGGCUGCUAAGAAUUCCACAACCAAAAAACCUUAAGCUAAUCGCAUACGCGGACGAUCUUGAGGAGGUAGCUGGAGCUAAAGAACUUGAUGACCUCCAAAAUAAAUGUGAUGAAUGCACAAAUGGUCUGCGCCAAUGGUUUUCUACCAUGAGUUUGGAACUGGCUCAACAGAAAACAAAAGUAUUGCUCAUAAGCACCAGGAAAAUUGAGAAAAAUAUAACUCUCACUAUAGGAGAGUGUGCAAUUACUUCAUAGCCACAAUUGAAGCAUUUAGGGGCAAUAUUAGACUCCAAACUGAAAUUCCAAGAGCACUUGCUCAAGGCAAAUAAGAUUUACCAUGCCUUAUUAAGAAUGAUGUCAUACAAAUUACCCGAUAGAGAUCUCUUUAUAUCCUUCGCUACUUUUUGUUGGUCUUAAGUUCUCAAAUGUUCAUUUUUUAAACGUCAUGGCAACUCUAAUAAUCUGUGUCAACUAUGGACAGCAUCAGCAAUAAGGGAAAAUGUAAACUAUGUCCCAACAGAUGUGCUACAAAAAGGAGAACUGAAAUAAAAUAAGUUUGCAAAACUUCAGAACUAGGCCAACGUGCAACAAAAUGUAACCAGGUACACCAAUACAUACAUAGGUAUGUUAGAUACAAGUUAGAUUUCUGUUAUGUAAGUGAAGUGAAAUGCAGUCAGAUGGGCAUUGUUUGCUAGGAUUACAGAAAAGUUGGACAAACUAUAUACAUACAUUCGUAUGUUUGUAUAUUAAUAAUGAAUAUGAGUAUAAUGAUGACAUUGAAGAAAAUUGUUUCACUGGAGCGAAAUCAAAAGAGCUUGCAAGUAAUAUCGUCUGAUCAAAUUUGGCCCGGACUGGAAAAAACUACAUUUUCACAUACUUAUUUAAACACAAAUAUGUAUUAUAGCCUUCAAAAUAAGUUUCUGAGUUAAUGCAAAGGUGGCAACACUUAAUCCAAUUUUCCAUAUUCUUAUUAUUUGUAAUACUCGGCUGAAUUUUAGUUUUAUCGGUUUUGACUCACUUGUGGAGAGACAUUUGCGAGAUUAAUGGACAGUUUCGACAUCUUAUUAAUAAACUCUGAUUUAUAACCAAAACAUUAACCAAACUUUUAAGCAAAACUUUAACCAAAAAAAAAACAUUAACCAAAAUGUGUUGAGGUGAUCCAAAAGAGAUGUUGAGAUCCUCUGCUAUCCCUUUAGUACCAACGCGAUGACUUUCAAGCACUGACUCUUUAACUUUUGCGAUGAACGACUUGCGUGAGGCAAGUUUUCGAUGACUCCACGACCUUCACUGAUUGCAUUGUGUCAUAAAUACAUAAAGAAAUAGUCCGGUUUAUAUUUGAUCAGAAGGUAUUUCGAAUUUUGAACUUCACUCAAUCGUACUGAACAUUUCUGGUUUAGAAACAUACCGCUUAUUAAUUCUUUAUCCAUAAUCAGAUGAAUCAGAAACAGCAUGAAUCAGGUCCAACUUAAAGAUACCUGAGAAUGAUGCAAGCACCGCACUAACAAAAUUAUUCGCAAAUCAAUAAGUAAUUAUAGCGUGCAAAACACAAAUUGCACUAGCGGUCACACAAUUUAGUCAAAAUGUGACUAAAAAAUCUAUUGCAAAGCCGCUUCAAGGAGAAUCGUGAAUAAAUUUGCAAUUGUCUGCGCAUUAGAGACACAGUAAUUGACAAUUUGCGACAACGCUAUAAAUAAUAAUAACAAAUAAUUAAAACAAAUAAGCUAAAAAAUAAUCAAAUUCAACCGCACAAUAGCCAAAGACGCUUUCUACAUUACGCUGAGUACCGUAAUGAGUACGCGCUGAAUUAUGACUAACAGCGAGAAUAAAAUAUUGUUGAAAAACGAAAAUAAAAAACAAUUUGUAUUUAACCCAUUUUUAGUUUGAACAAUCCGCCGUUACACCCGCUGAUGUCAUGUGCUCAUGGAGCCGUGAUGUCUCUGCAGUCACAGCGUACCGCUGCAGACUCAUAAGUGAUGUCAGUCCAACAUGAAGCACGAACGCGCCGGUAAUGACUAAAGGUAUAGAGGUGAAAAAGUACACGUGAUGACAUAUCGCAGGCGGACGACGGAGAAAUACAAACAUAUGGCGGUACAGAGUAUUGUAAAGCGUUGCUGGCGAAAUUAGAAAGUGGGACAAGAGUUAAAUUGAAAAAUUUCUUAGAUAUGACAGUAGCGCAGUUUGGUACUAAUGCGGAGAACAUAAAUCUAUAAAACAAAUCUAAAAAAUAAAUUAUGCAAAAUUUAUUGCGCAACCUAAAUCCCACAACUGCCUCAGCCAGCAAUUACUUAAACUAAAUAAUUUGCACUUUAACUCGCGCAUUUAAGCGCUAAGUGUUGUUGUUUUUAGCGGGACCGAUAACCUUUUGCAACGAUUUUCAAUUUAAUUUACAUUUUUAUUGAAUCAAUGAAGAAUUGCAGAAAAAUGGCGCAGCCCGGAGAACACUGAUCUGUCAACAACACAUUGCUUAUGUAUACAUGUGUGUGUGAGUGCGAGCAAAGGAGUUAAUGAACACGUAAAUGCGAAACGCAACGAAUAACAAUGCAGAUAUGCAGAGCAAAAAAAGAGCGCAUGAAAUGAAGAGUCCAUCAAAUUUAUGCAAUAUUUAUUGCAGAGCAAUAUAAUGUGGCAGACGGUGCGCAGGAGAGAUUGUGGCAGUAGCGCCACGACAAGUGUGGAGCAAUAACAGUAAACAGUAAAAAUUAACAAGUUUAUAAAUAAAUGCAUUUGACCUUUGA